CCCAGCUGAUUUUUGUACUUUUAGUAGAGAUGGGGUUUUGCCACGUUGACCAGGCUGGUCUCGAACUCCUGACCUCAGGUGAUCUGCCCUCCUCCGCCUCCCAAAAUGCUGGGAUUACAGGCAUGAGCCACUGCUCCCAGCCCCUAAACACUUUUAAACUAUCAGAUCCUGUGAGAACUCACUUACCAUCAUGAGAGCAGCAUGAGAAAAACCACCCCCAUGACCUAAUCACCUCCCACCAGGUUGCUCUCUUGACACAUGGGGAUUACAAUUUGAGAUGAGAUUUGGAUGGGGACACAGAGCCAAACACAAUUUGAGAUGAGAUUUGGUUGGGGACACAGAGCCAAACACAAUUUGAGAUGAGAUUUGGUUGGGGACACAGAGCCAAACACAAUUUGAGAUGAGAUUUGGUUGGGGACACAGAGCCAAACCAUCUCAUUGUGUGUGUGCUGUUGUGUUUUUGUUCUGGCACUUGGAGAAAACAGCACUGUUUACCUCCGUGGAAAGAUCCCUCCAACUGUAAACUGUGGCUGUAUGCUUGGGAGGUAAGGGGUACAAGAUUAAGUUUCCAUAUUCAUUUAACUGAUCAGAUUUUUGUGUUUAGUUUUGUUUUUGUUUUUCAGAGACAGGCUCUUGCUGUCAGCCAGGCUGGAGCACAGUGGUGUGAUCACUCCCAGAUAGCUGGGACUAAAGGCACAUACCACCAUGCCUGGCUCAUCUUUUUUUUUUAUUUUUAUAGAGACAGGAUCUUGUUAUGUUGCCCAGGCUGGUCUCGGACUCCUGGCCUCAAGUGAUCCUCCCACCUUGACCUCCCAAAGUGAUGAUAUUACAGGUGUGAGCCACCACACCUAGUUUCUAAACAGGUUUUUUUUUUUUUUUUUCCUACCAGUUAGAAACAAUAGCUUCUCUCUUGGGGUGAUGACUUUCAAUUGAAACACAUUUUCAUAGAAUAAGAUUUUUUUCCCCCAAAAGUCAGUAUUUCUUAAACUCCUGUUAUUAGACCAUGAAUAUUUUUCUCAUUGUGAACAAAACUCCACUUUGCAACAUUGCCUCUGCGUACAGUGGGGAGCAAGACUUUAAAAAACUGUUGCUAGCUUUACGACAUCUGCAGAAUUAUCAGAAUUCACCAUGGAGGUCUGUUUGAUGUUGCAGUUAAAAAUAUUAUCCACGAAGAAGUUGAAAAAUAUGAAAAGCAGUAUCGAGGCAAGGAGCUUCUGGGAUUUGUCAACUACAAGACAUUUGAGAUCAUCGUGCAUCAGUACAUCCAGCAGCUGGUGGAGCCCGCCCUUAGCAUGCUCCAGAAAGCCAUGGAAAUUAUCCAGCAAGCUUUCAUUAACGUGGCCAAAAAACAUUUUGGCGAAUUUUUCAACCUUAACCAAACUGUUCAGGUAAGCACCCAGAGUUCACUUGCUAGUCACCUGGACCACUGGCUGUUUAACCUUGAGAGAAGUUGGAUAUUCACUGUCAUUUGGAACCAUGAGGCCAGGGAUGUAAUGGCAGGCUGGCGAGGCUGGCAGGGCUGGCGGGGCUGGUGGAGCUGGUGACUCCAGGAGCACCUGCCUGCCUGGCUUCUGCUCAGGAGGCGGCUUCACUCCCCAGGAGAAAUGAAAUGCGGCCCGUGCCCUGCCAUCUGUUCUGCACGACCUUACGCAGGACGUGGGGCUCCACCGAGGACUGGCUGGUAGGCUGAAUCUUUUUCAAGCAUAAAGCACGGCAUUGUUUACUAGUCCUACUCCCAAAUUUGUAUGUUUGACUCAAAGAUGUUGCCGUAGCUCUGUGGGUUUCUACUUAGCAACUCUUCCCCCGAGUUACCUUCAGCAAAGGCAAGAGAGGGCAUGUGGCACUUGGGCUGUAGAUAAAAUUCCUCUUCUGCCCAGGCCUGGGCUGCUGGAUUGAAAUCUCAUUCCAUAGUGCAGGCAAGCAAGAAGGACAAUUUCUGUGAUUUUUCCGUCAUAUAAAUUAAUUUCUUCUUUCACCCUUUUUGCCUGUUGGUGAAAAUUAAAUCCCAGUUCUGACUCCCGCCCACUGUCUCAGGGGCUGUGUCUGAGUCCCGGGUGCCUGCUCAUGGGGUGGGUGACCUGCCUGGUCCCCAGUCACCAAGAUGUCCAUUGUCCUUCCCGGGCCUUGGUCCCCUUGGUCCCUGAGCUCCUGCCCAGCCCCGCCGGGACACAGGAAGCACUCGGCUGCAGGCCCAACUGCUCUGGGCCAUGGGAACUCUGGCAUCCACCAAGGGCCUUCACCUCUUUUGUGCUGCCCUUGGAUAGACACAGCCUUGCAGCAGCUCCCGGCUCCUCACCAGGGACUGCGGGGCUCUCCAAGGCCAUGGCCUGCACACUGCCCUCAGCCACAACAGAGCCUGGGGGGCUCGCUGCCUCCCGUGUCACAAAUCUUGAGGAGUGCGGCACAGGCCACUUCUGCUCCCAGAGGGUCUACUGUCCUUUGUUGUGUAGACCGAAAGUGACUGAGGCAGAUCUGCCUCAAUCCGAGAUUUAUUUUGCCCAGGUCGAGGAUGUACCUGGGAAAAAGAAAUACAAGUUCCAGUGCUAUCUGUGACCUGUGCUUUUCCUAAGAGGGUUUAGGGGAACUUCAGUAUUUAAAAAGGAAAGAGCAAGCAGGUGGGGAAGAAAGAAGGAAGGAGGGUAGGCACCUGAGGCAAUGAGGCAAUGAGGCAGAGGUCACCCUCGUGUAAGGCUCUGACCAGCACUCAGUGAAUCUAUGUGUUAAAUGUGAAAAGAAAGGCGUGGAGAGAAAGUCAAUCAUGCAUUCAUCUCGCGCUCAGUAAAUCUACAUUUUACAUCAGAUAAAGUGCUCAUGUGAAAUCACAGCUUCUGUUUGGGAACAAAAGAAAGGCAGUUAACUUUCCCUUUAGUAUAGUAAGUUUGGGGUCCCAAGAAUCUAUUUUUCUUUCACAGUUGUCACAUAUACUC
This 2927-nucleotide small RNA is filed under the name Pan troglodytes (chimpanzee). RNAcentral describes it as "retained intron". Lineage: Eukaryota; Metazoa; Chordata; Mammalia; Primates; Hominidae. The record is from RNAcentral.